Molecule: transfer RNA, 71 nt
Filed under: Sclerotinia borealis F-4128
Lineage: Eukaryota; Fungi; Ascomycota; Leotiomycetes; Helotiales; Sclerotiniaceae
Description: tRNA-Gly (GCC) (tRNA-Gly-GCC-2-1)
Rfam family: tRNA
About the family: Transfer RNA (tRNA) molecules are approximately 80 nucleotides in length. Their secondary structure includes four short double-helical elements and three loops (D, anti-codon, and T loops). Further hydrogen bonds mediate the characteristic L-shaped molecular structure. tRNAs have two regions of fundamental functional importance: the anti-codon, which is responsible for specific mRNA codon recognition, and the 3' end, to which the tRNAs corresponding amino acid is attached (by aminoacyl-tRNA synthetases). tRNAs cope with the degeneracy of the genetic code in two manners: having more than one tRNA (with a specific anti-codon) for a particular amino acid; and 'wobble' base-pairing, i.e. permitting non-standard base-pairing at the 3rd anti-codon position.
Source: RNAcentral
GCAUCCGUGGUUUAGUGGUAAAAUCGUUGCUUGCCAUGCAAUGGCCCCGGAUUCGAUUUCCGGCGGAUGCA